GACGAACGCUGGCGGCGUGCUUAACACAUGCAAGUCGAACGAUGAAGAAGAGAAACGCGAACUUCGGUUCAAAUUUCACUUCGGAUUAGUGGCAGACGGGUGAGUAACGCGUGAGCAACCUACCUCUUACAAAGGGAUAGCCUCGGGAAACCGUGAUUAAUACCAUAUGACACAUUCAUAAGGCAUCUUAAGAAUGUUAAAGCUACGGCGGUAAGAGAUGGGCUCGCGUCCCAUUAGCUAGUUGGUGAGGUAACGGCCCACCAAGGCGACGAGGGGUAACCGGCUGGGGGGGGGGACCGUUAAAAUUGAAACUGGGCCACGGCCCAAACUCCACGGGGGGGAGGAGAGGGGGAUAAUGGAAAAAGGAGGGAACUCUGAUGCAGCGACGCCGCGUGAGCGAUGAAGGAAUUCGUUUCGUAAAGCUCUGUUCUAUGGGAAGAAAAGGACUGUACCAUAGGAGAAAGCCCCGGCUAAAUACGUG
This 481-nucleotide ribosomal RNA is filed under the name uncultured bacterium. RNAcentral describes it as "partial 16S ribosomal RNA". It matches the Rfam family "Bacterial small subunit ribosomal RNA", at positions 28 to 507 of the family's 1533-position model. The record is from RNAcentral.